UGGGGAAUAUUGCGCAAUGGGCGAAAGCCUGACGCAGCAACGCCGCGUGAGUGAUGAAGGCCUUCGGGUCGUAAAGCUCUGUCGGAGGGAACGAAUGCUCUUGAGGUUAACAGCCUCGGGAGGUGACGGUACCCUCAAAGGAAGCACCGGCUAACUCUGUGCCAGCAGCCGCGGUAAUACAGAGGGUCGCAAGCGUUGUUCGGAAUUACUGGGCGUAAAGCGUGCGCAGGCGGCCGCGCAAGUCAGGUGUGAAAUCCCCGGGCUUAACCUGGGAAUUGCGCUUGAAACUAUGCGGCUUGAGUGUGGCAGAGGGGGGUGGAAUUCCACGUGUAGCAGUGAAAUGCGUAGAGAUGUGGAGGAACACCGAUGGCGAAGGCAGCCCCCUGGGCCAACACUGACGCUCAGGCACGAAAGCGUGGGGAGCAAACAGGAUUAGAUACCCGUGUAGUCCCUGAGCGGGCUGGCAAGGCGCAU
Molecule: ribosomal RNA, 474 nt
Filed under: uncultured bacterium
Lineage: Bacteria
Description: bacterial SSU rRNA
Rfam family: Bacterial small subunit ribosomal RNA
Source: RNAcentral